CUCCUGAAUCGCGCAGGGGCAGAUGGGCAGGGCUGCGCGUAAAUCCGCCUACCUUCUUCCGGGCGCUGGCUCCACCCCAGCCCUAACUCCUCCCGCUUCCGGUUUUAUGCUUGGAUGACUGGAUGUUACGUCAGCAUCCUCAUGACAGCUGUUGCGGUGGGCAAAACUUGGUACUUUGAGGUAAACUGUCUAAGAUGUAGACAGCAUUGCUGAGCCUCCUCAACAGUCUCCCCACACCAGGGACAACAUUUUUAAAGGAACGGCUCUCAGAAUUGUUGGGUAGACGGAGUCCAGAAAAGAGCUCAAGGCAAUCACAGAAUUCUAUUCUAAUACAUGGCACUUUGACAUGAGGAUUGGUUUGAUCUGAAAGCGUUUAAAAUCAACAGAGGCAGAGGACUUCUUCCCAGAGCUUCUCUUAUAUGACUAGAAGGAGACACUUUUGAGCAAUGAAGACUAAAAAAGAGAAGACUGCUAUAAAUACCCUUUCCUGGAGAAGCUUUGUGGCCAGGGAGGAAGUGGAUAGUCAGAAAUUGAGCCACAGUAACCAGCCAAACAACUAUGUGACAAGAUUCUGUUUGUUUUCUCUACAUACUUACCUUCUGAUAAUUUCAUCCCUCAAAUCCUAAAGAUAUCUCUCAUCCUUCACCUUUGUACAAACUGAGUGUUCUUUGUCAAGAUGUUAUAAAAAACAAUUUCUAAUCACCCCUGAGAGCGUGCCAUAUGUGUUUUCACAUGUGUAUGCCUACUCCAGGUGUUAAUAAACUCUUUCCCUCUUGAUCAGUCUAAUACAUAGGUCCCUUUGAUCAGUCUAAUACAUAGGUCCUCAGCCUAAGAAAUUAAAGGAAGAAAGGUUUUAUCACCUCUCUAUUUCUAAUGCUUUGUUAAUUAUACUCGAAAUAUAUUGUAAAUGGGCUACUCUUACUCUUCGACCAAAGAUUCUUGCUCAGUUCAUCCAGGAAAUCGCUGAAAAUUCCCCAGGUAUCACUUCCUUCAAGCUGUGUGAAACUCCAGUAUCAGAGUCAUUCUUAGCUUGGAAAUGGUCUCUGGAAGGCUCUCAUAAAAUGACUGUUAGCCCAGGAAGAACCAAAGAUGAAUUCAUAAAUCUGCACAGAGCACGGCAUUGUUUUUACUUUGGGUGUCUGUCUCCUAGAGGAAGGCAGGACUCUGGGAGAAUAAUCAGUGACUGUCUUUAUGUGGAUGCUGAAGGAAAGAAGCAAACUUCAGAUGAAAUGUGCCUGGGGAAGGUGUCGGGAAUCCAAGGCUGGCAUAAAAGCACCAGGGGCCUGAGAGGUUUUAGCACCUUAAUAUGAAAUGACAACCUAAUGGAGGCAGCAGUAAUCAGACAGACCAGACUUCAAAGCUCCACUCACUUGCUGUGGUCAGAAGCAAGCCAUUCAGGUUUUUGAGCCUCGAUUUAUUCCUUUGUGACAUGGAAUGAGUUAAAGCUCCCUCGGCAUGGUUGGUGGGUUGUGGGGAGCUUGCACGGUGGACAGUCCUCUGGAGGUAGUGGCUCUUACUAGUGUAGUCAGUCCCAUCAGUCGUGAUUGCUACCAAUGGCAGACAUUCUUCAUGGGUUUUGCUGUUGUUGUUGUUCUGGUUUUGGUUUUUCGAAACAGGGUUUCUUUGUGUAACAGCUCUAACUGUCCUGGAACUCACUCUGUAGACCAGGCUGGUCUCUGCCUCUCAAGUUAUGGGAAUAAAGACAUGCUCCACCAGCGCUGCUGGGCUCCAUGACUUUUUUUAUGGAAACUUAAGAACUGAUUGUUUUGGAAUUAUCUUGAAGCUGGACUUAAUGGAAGAGCUUUACCAGGGAUUAUGCUUUUUCUAGCAAAGAUAUUUCUUGAAAGUCUGGAGUGGGAGUAAAUCAACAAAUGUGAUAGCCAUUCUAUUCUCUACACAGACAAAUAUGGAGCUAAAAUGAAUUUAAAGACCAACUAAAACAGAAGACAAAAUUUAUUGACACCUGAAGAGAAAGGGACAUAAAGAAGGGGUAGAAUUUAGACACUAUCCUUGAUGCUAUGCAUUACUAUCAUGAAAUAUCCAAUACAGGUUAUGAUUUAGAUCCCAGGUCUUUUUUGGGGGUGCUCAAAGUUUAAGCAUCCUAACAAAGUUUCAUGACAGGGUCUUCCGUUUGGCAACAUGACUGUGGGCAAAAACAGGUAUAUCUGGGACUGACAACAGAGAGACCCCAGAAGGGGCUGGGGUGGAUCCUUUCAUAACAACCCUCUUGCAAGAACUAGCAAGAGUUAGGCUGGGAAAUAUCAAAGGGUUGAGUGAGGCAUACCCAGGCCCCAGUGACUAAGACCCUGGAUGGUACACUUGAGGGUGCCUAGUGGGACCCUGACCUCUUCCUCCUCUGUAUUCCUGGCUUCCAUAAGGUGAGGAUGCCCUGCCUCACUCACCACAUCCCCCAAAGUAAUAGGCUUGUUAAUGGAGCUUAAGAGUUGAAUGGCUCCCUGCUCAACCAGAUUGAAGCUGGUGGAAGGAAAUAGAUUUAUUAAGGGCUGCCUUGGAGAAAACAGGAGAGACUUUUUCAUCAAAACUGCCACCUCCGGGGCUUUCAGUGUGGAAAGAGCCAUGCUAGGAGGGACCAAUUAAACAGAGAGGUGGCAAGGAAGAAAUCGGUGUGCUGGGCAAGGAGAUGCUCCUCAUUCAGAGGGAUGUGCUCUCUCUUCCCUAGCAGGCACACUGCAAUGGAUUUGGCCUCCUGUGGCUAGUUAACUAAAACCUAGGAAGACUUUCUUUCUUAGUACAAAUGAUUAGGGAGAGGCCAAGGUAAAAAAUGAGGAGGGGUGUCAAGGGACAGCUUCAAUUGAACUCUUACAAGCCAGACAGUAUUAGAUGACACCUCUGAAACCUCAGGCCAAAAUAAGCCUUCCCUUCUGGGUUGAUCUGGGGUACCUUGUCAAGGGGAUGGACUGCCGACUAACAGAACCAGCAAACAAUUAGAGGUUCUUCAGUGACUGGGAAAGAACUCCACCUGAAACUGAUGGGCGGUGCAGGAGACAGACUGAUAUUAAGAAACCCCAGACUUCUCUCUUUCCCUCUCAAACCUCUAAUCGACAAUAUUAACACAGCAGCUGCAUUUCCAAUGACCAGAGUGCAGACUAAUAUAAGCAAUUGCGCCUCGUGUAUAACCUUUUUAUUUUGACAUCAGGUCUCAUUAUAUAAACCAGGGUGGGCUGGAGCUGCUACUAGAUGCAACAGUUGUAAAACUGUAUUACUCAGCACAAGGAGCUUCAUAAUUAAAAGUGUUACACUGACUGGUAAAGGGACAGAGAUGUCUGGCACACUCAUAAGAUUCUAUUUCUCAUUCUGGAUGCUGGUUACACAAGUAUUUCCAGUUAAUAAAAGUUAAUAGCUA
Mesocricetus auratus (golden hamster) is the source of this 3364-nucleotide long non-coding RNA. RefSeq lists it as uncharacterized. NCBI's taxonomy places the organism in Eukaryota, Metazoa, Chordata, Mammalia, Rodentia, Cricetidae. The record is from RefSeq and is a predicted model, not a curated record. The transcript is spliced from 2 exons.